GGUUAAGCGACUAAGCGUACACGGUGGAUGCCCUGGCAGUCAGAGGCGAUGAAGGACGUGCUAAUCUGCGAUAAGCGUCGGUAAGGUGAUAUGAACCGUUAUAACCGGCGAUUUCCGAAUGGGGAAACCCAGUGCAAUUCGUUGCACUAUCAUUGCGUGAAUACAUAGCGUAAUGAAGCGAACCGGGGGAACUGAAACAUCUAAGUACCCCGAGGAAAAGAAAUCAACCGAGAUUCCCCCAGUAGCGGCGAGCGAACGGGGAGCAGCCCAGAGUCUGAAUCAGCGUGUGUGUUAGUGGAACGGUCUGGAAAGUCCGACGGUACAGGGUGAUAGUCCCGUACACCAAAACACACAGGUUGUGAACUCGAAGAGUAGGGCGGGACACGUGGUAUCCUGUCUGAAUAUGGGGGGGACCAUCCUCCAAGGCUAAAUACUCCUGACUGACCGAUAGUGAACCAGUACCGUGAGGGAAAGGCGAAAAGAACCCCGGCGAGGGGAGUGAAAAAGAACCUGAAACCGUGUACGUACAAGCAGUGGGAGCCUCUUUAUGGGGUGACUGCGUACCUUUUGUAUAAUGGGUCAGCGACUUAUAUUCUGUAGCAAGGUUAACCGAAUAGGGGAGCCGAAGGGAAACCGAGUCUUAACUGGGCGUUAAGUUGCAGGGUAUAGACCCGAAACCCGGUGAUCUAGCCAUGGGCAGGUUGAAGGUUGGGUAACACUAACUGGAGGACCGAACCGACUAAUGUUGAAAAAUUAGCGGAUGACUUGUGGCUGGGGGUGAAAGGCCAAUCAAACCGGGAGAUAGCUGGUUCUCCCCGAAAGCUAUUUAGGUAGCGCCUCGUGAAUUCAUCUUCGGGGGUAGAGCACUGUUUCGGCUAGGGGGUCAUCCCGACUUACCAACCCGAUGCAAACUGCGAAUACCGAAGAAUGUUAUCACGGGAGACACACGGCGGGUGCUAACGUCCGUCGUGAAGAGGGAAACAACCCAGACCGCCAGCUAAGGUCCCAAAGUCAUGGUUAAGUGGGAAACGAUGUGGGAAGGCACAGACAGCCAGGAUGUUGGCUUAGAAGCAGCCAUCAUUUAAAGAAAGCGUAAUAGCUCACUGGUCGAGUCGGCCUGCGCGGAAGAUGUAACGGGGCUAAACCAUGCACCGAAGCUGCGGCAGCGACACUAUGUGUUGUUGGGUAGGGGAGCGUUCUGUAAGCCGUUGAAGGUGUGCUGUGAGGCAUGCUGGAGGUAUCAGAAGUGCGAAUGCUGACAUAAGUAACGAUAAUGCGGGUGAAAAACCCGCACGCCGGAAGACCAAGGGUUCCUGUCCAACGUUAAUCGGGGCAGGGUGAGUCGACCCCUAAGGCGAGGCCGAAAGGCGUAGUCGAUGGGAAACAGGUUAAUAUUCCUGUACUUGGUGUUACUGCGAAGGGGGGACGGAGAAGGCUAUGUUGGCCGGGCGACGGUUGUCCCGGUUUAAGCGUGUAGGUGUGUGUUCCAGGUAAAUCCGGAAUGCUUUAACACUGAGGCGUGAUGACGAGGCACCACGGUGCUGAAGUGACAAAUGCCCUGCUUCCAGGAAAAGCCUCUAAGCAUCAGGUAACACGAAAUCGUACCCCAAACCGACACAGGUGGUCAGGUAGAGAAUACCAAGGCGCUUGAGAGAACUCGGGUGAAGGAACUAGGCAAAAUGGUGCCGUAACUUCGGGAGAAGGCACGCUGAUAUGUAGGUGAAGUGAUUUACUCAUGGAGCUGAAAUCAGUCGAAGAUACCAGCUGGCUGCAACUGUUUAUUAAAAACACAGCACUGUGCAAACACGAAAGUGGACGUAUACGGUGUGACGCCUGCCCGGUGCCGGAAGGUUAAUUGAUGGGGUUAUCCGUAAGGAGAAGCUCUUGAUCGAAGCCCCGGUAAACGGCGGCCGUAACUAUAACGGUCCUAAGGUAGCGAAAUUCCUUGUCGGGUAAGUUCCGACCUGCACGAAUGGCGUAAUGAUGGCCAGGCUGUCUCCACCCGAGACUCAGUGAAAUUGAACUCGCUGUGAAGAUGCAGUGUACCCGCGGCAAGACGGAAAGACCCCGUGAACCUUUACUAUAGCUUGACACUGAACACUGGUCCUUGAUGUGUAGGAUAGGUGGGAGGCUUUGAAGUGUGGACGCCAGUCUGCAUGGAGCCGACCUUGAAAUACCACCCUUUAAUGGCUGGUGUUCUAACGUGGGCCCGUGAUCCGGGUUGCGGACAGUGUCUGGUGGGUAGUUUGACUGGGGCGGUCUCCUCCCAAAGAGUAACGGAGGAGCACGAAGGUUAGCUAAUCCUGGUCGGACAUCAGGAGGUUAGUGCAAAGGCAUAAGCUAGCUUGACUGCGAGAGUGACGGCUCGAGCAGGUGCGAAAGCAGGUCUUAGUGAUCCGGUGGUUCUGAAUGGAAGGGCCAUCGCUCAACGGAUAAAAGGUACUCCGGGGAUAACAGGCUGAUACCGCCCAAGAGUUCAUAUCGACGGCGGUGUUUGGCACCUCGAUGUCGGCUCAUCACAUCCUGGGGCUGAAGUAGGUCCCAAGGGUAUGGCUGUUCGCCAUUUAAAGUGGUACGCGAGCUGGGUUUAGAACGUCGUGAGACAGUUCGGUCCCUAUCUGCCGUGGGCGCUGGAGAAUUGAGGGGGGCUGCUCCUAGUACGAGAGGACCGGAGUGGACGCAUCACUGGUGUUCGGGUUGUCAUGCCAAUGGCACUGCCCGGUAGCUAAAUGCGGAAGAGAUAAGUGCUGAAAGCAUCUAAGCACGAAACUUGCCCCGAGAUGAGUUCUCCCUGACCCUUUAAGGGUCCUGAAGGAACGUUGAAGACGACGACGUUGAUAGGCCGGGUGUGUAAGCGCAGCGAUGCGUUGAGCUAACCGGUACUAAUGAACCGUGAGGCUUAACCUU
This 2907-nucleotide ribosomal RNA is filed under the name Citrobacter braakii. RNAcentral's name for it is "23S ribosomal RNA". It matches the Rfam family "Bacterial large subunit ribosomal RNA". Lineage: Bacteria; Pseudomonadati; Pseudomonadota; Gammaproteobacteria; Enterobacterales; Enterobacteriaceae. The record is from RNAcentral.